RNAcentral lists this ribosomal RNA (611 nucleotides) under Thalamita auauensis. Its description in RNAcentral is "partial 16S ribosomal RNA". It matches the Rfam family "Bacterial large subunit ribosomal RNA", at positions 1851 to 2727 of the family's 2925-position model. The record is from RNAcentral. Lineage: Eukaryota; Metazoa; Arthropoda; Malacostraca; Decapoda; Portunidae.
AGUCUAGCCUGCUCACUGAUAACUUGUAUUAAAUAGCCGCGGUAUCUUGACCGUGCAAAGGUAGCAUAAUCAUUAGUUUUUUAAUUGAAAACUCGUAUGAAUGGUUGGACAAAGAAGAAACUGUCUCUUUUAUUAAAGUUGAAUUUAACUUUUAAGUGAAAAGGCUUAAAUUUUCUAGAGGGACGAUAAGACCCUAUAAAGCUUUAUAAACUUAGAAAUUUUAUAUAUUUUUAGAUAACAAUAAUCUUUCAUAUAUUUAUUUGGUUGGGGCGACAAUAGUAUAAUAAAAGUAACUGCUUUUAAGUAUAACAAAUAUAUUUGAGUCAUAAUUAAUUGAUCCUUUUUAAAGAUUUUAAGAUCAAGUUACUUUAGGGAUAACAGCGUUAUUUUUCCUGAGAGUCCUUAUCAAAGGAAAAGUUUGCGACCUCGAUGUUGAAUUAAAAUGUCUACAUAGUGCAGCAGCUAUAAAAGAAGGUCUGUUCGACCUUUAAUAUUUUACAUGAUUUGAGUUCAGACCGGCGGGAGCCAGGUCGGUUUCUAUCUUCUAGAAAGAGAAUGAUCAUUCUAGUACGAAAGGAUUGAGUGAUUAAAAGGGUUUUAUCGAUUGAAAU